RNAcentral lists this ribosomal RNA (308 nucleotides) under uncultured bacterium. RNAcentral describes it as "bacterial SSU rRNA". It matches the Rfam family "Bacterial small subunit ribosomal RNA", at positions 29 to 325 of the family's 1533-position model. The record is from RNAcentral.
AACGAACGCUGGCGGCGCGCUUAACACAUGCAAGUCGAACGAGAAGCUGUAGCAAUACAGUUGUACAGUGGCGAACGGGUGAGGAAUACAUGGGUAACCCUACCCUCGAGGUGGGGAAUAACCAGCCGAAAGGCUGGCUAAUACCGCGUACGCCUUCCCAAUCUGCGGGUUGGGAAGGAAAGCUCUACCGUGGGUAGAGCGCUCAAGGACGGGCUCAUGUCCUAUCAGCUUGUUGGAGGGUAACGGCCUACCAAGGCAACGACGGGUAGCUGGUCUGAGAGGACGAUCAGCCACACUGGCACUGCGAC